GCAAGUCGAACGAGAUCUUCGGAUCUAGUGGCGCACGGGUGAGUAACAUGUGGGUAUCUGCCCUUUGGCCUGGAAUAACACGAGGAAACUUGUGCUAAUACCGGAUAAGUCUUUACGGAGAAAGCUUUAUGCACCAUUGGAUGAGCCCGCACUUGAUUAGUUUGUUGGUGGGGUAAUGGCCUACCAAGACUGUGAUCAAUAGCUGAUUUGAGAGGAUGAUC
This 221-nucleotide ribosomal RNA is filed under the name uncultured bacterium. Its description in RNAcentral is "partial 16S ribosomal RNA". It matches the Rfam family "Bacterial small subunit ribosomal RNA", at positions 57 to 305 of the family's 1533-position model. The record is from RNAcentral.